CAGCAGCCGCGGUAAUACGGAGGAUGCGAGCGUUAUCCGGAUUUAUUGGGUUAAAAGGGUGCGUAGGCGGUUUGUCAAGUCAGCGGUGAAACGCAAGGGCUUAACCCUUGACCUGCCGUUGAAACUGAUUGACUAGAAUGCGUAUGCUGUGGGAGGAAUGUGUGGUGUAGCGGUGAAAUGCAUAGAUAUCACACAGAACACCGAUUGCGAAGGCAUCUCACAAAUCCGUGAUUGACGCUGAGGCACGAAAGUGUGGGGAUCAAACAGGAUUAGAUACCCUGGUAGUCCACACUGUAAACGAUGAUGACUCGCUGUCGGCGAUAUACAGUCGGUGGCCAAGCGAAAGCGAUAAGUCAUCCACCUGGGGAGUACGACCGCAAGGUUGAAACUCAAAGAAAUUGACGG
This 405-nucleotide ribosomal RNA is filed under the name uncultured rumen bacterium. RNAcentral's name for it is "bacterial SSU rRNA". It matches the Rfam family "Bacterial small subunit ribosomal RNA", at positions 509 to 916 of the family's 1533-position model. The record is from RNAcentral.